UACGGAGGGUGCAAGCGUUAUCCGGAAUCACUGGGCGUAAAGGGUGCGUAGGCGGGUUUUUAAGUCAGGGGUGAAAUCCUGGAGCUCAACUCCAGAACUGCCUUUGAUACUGAAGAUCUUGAGUCCGGGAGAGGUGAGUGGAACUGCGAGUGUAGAGGUGAAAUUCGUAGAUAUUCGCAAGAACACCAGUGGCGAAGGCGGCUCACUGGCCCGGUACUGACGCUGAGGCACGAAAGCGUGGGGAGCAAACAGG
RNAcentral lists this ribosomal RNA (253 nucleotides) under uncultured bacterium. RNAcentral describes it as "partial 16S ribosomal RNA". It matches the Rfam family "Bacterial small subunit ribosomal RNA", at positions 524 to 776 of the family's 1533-position model. The record is from RNAcentral.